ACAGUACAAACUGAUCAAGCCAGGGCUAACGCCCGGAGCCGGGUCACGAACGUGACAGUGGAGUUCUCACCCACGGGACAGUA
This 83-nucleotide non-coding RNA is filed under the name unclassified sequences. The record is from Rfam.